CAGUGAGCCAAGACUGUGCCAUUGCACUCCAGUCUAGUGACAGAGCGAGACUCCAUCUCAAAAGAAAAAAAAAGUGAUAAUAAUGAUAUUAAGCCUAAAUUAAAUGAGCUUUCCUUUGCUGCAUGAGCGUUCAGCCUAGUUUUGCUUUGUCAUGUAAUCUGAGAAAGGGGUGCAGGUUCAUGUGCUGUAAAAGUUUACAUGCUUGUGGACUUUAAUGUCUUAGUAGGUGAAUGUUAAGGAAUUGUAAGGUGAGAUACCCAGGGAACGUAUUUGCAUGCUCUUCACUUCCUUUCUAGAGAUAAUGGGUUCUUCUAAAUUAGGAACUUUGAAAAAUGGCAGGAGUUUUAUCAUUUUGGCCUGUGGUGAAGGAAGAUUCCCUCUCAUGACACUAAAAGCGAUGUUUCUGAAUUCCAAAUUUGGUGAUGCCACUCCCUGCUGAGAAUCCUCCUGGGGAUCCCAGGAGGAUUACAGAGCAAAGUAGAAACUUCACAGCUGGACCCGCAGGGCUGUCAGUGAGCAUCUUCCUGUUUCCUUCUCUAGGCUUGCCUCCUGCCACCUUCCCCACUCCACCUAUAUGCUCCAGCGACUCACAGCACUUUGGACAUGUCACAGCCAUUUCUACCUAAUCAUUUACCUCUUCCUGAAAUCCUCCAUUUGCUAGCUCAGAUAACUGAUAACUCUGAUAACUCAAUCAUACGUUCUUACCCAUUCAGUACUAACAGAGUUCUUCCUCUGAGGUUUUCUUGACCAGCUCCUCUCUCUCCAUCCCACCAUCUUCUGGGUCAUUGAAGAUGACCAUUGAAGCAUCCUGCAGUUUUCUCUCUCCCUGUAGUUUUCUCUCUCCCUAUAGUUAGCAAGCUUUAUUGCCAUUUGGGGGUUACUUUCUAUUAUUGUUGCUGCCUCUGGGACCUCCCUGAGGACAGGUAUUCUUCUCUAUAGACCUAGUGUACACACAGGACCAGGCACAUAGAAGGUCCUGCAUGCACGCUUGGUGACUUGGAAUGAAGGUAUGUUCUCCCACUAUGGUGUAUGGGUGGUGCUGGGCUGUCUCAGGGCCCUGCAAGUCCUGCUCUGCCUUGGCCUAGGAACAAAGCUUCCCACUUGAAUCUAGGGCAACACCAUCCCCCAGGGCUUUCCUCUAUCCUGAGAAUUAACUGUUUGUAUCCAGAUAAGACAUUUCUGGAAGGAUGUACCAUUACCACCUCCAUUAUCCCAUCCCAGGCAGACAUCUCUGGUAAAGCAGGGAAAUCCCAAAGGGACAGCUACCUUGUGGGGUAUCUCUGAGAACAUGUUUGCCCUGCUCCUGAGGGUUUGCUUGGGAAAGUACCUACUUCAAUGGGAAUAGAUGCCAGCUCUGCAAAUGGGGAUGCUGGCUUGGCAUCCCCACUCGCCUUGAGGCAAGCAGGAGGGUGUCUGGGCCCUCUUAGAGCAAUUCUUCUGCAGGUCCCUUGGCUAAACCCCACAUUCCCAGAUCUCAGUGUGGAUCUUCCGUCUCAGAGCUAGCAUUUUCUAACACAUUGUGUAGUUAUUAUGUGUACUGGCUAAAGCCUGGGUUCAGCUCUGGGCUUUGCCACUUCGUGCUAUGCAAUUUGGGUGAGCUUUCUAACGUUUAUUUUCUCUAUAUCCUCAUCUGUAACAUGGGGAGAAAAUAAUAAUACCUACCUCAAAGGAUUGUUUUGAGCAUUAAAUGAGUUAAUAGAUUAUACCUUGUACAUAGUAAAUGCUUAGUACACUUAGAAAUGUUAGUCAGAACUCAUGUCUAAUGCACUGUGUAGCCUUAGAAAAUCCCUUGCCCCAUCUCUUAGCUGGCCUUCUAGCAUCUGAGGGCCCUAGUUCUCUCCCAUUUCACCAGUCAGUCCCACCCUAGUUCGCUUCCAAACACUCAUGGCAUGUUAGCAGUGCAGCUGGGCACAGGUCUGGAAUCCCUCUCUGAACGAAGGGCCUUGACUGUAGUUUGGGUGAUAAUCUUGAUGAUUCACUUUUUCUCUUUUGAUUCUAAAGACCACCCCCUUGGGCGUGGGCUGGGAAAUACUCUGCAAUUUACAACAGUGCCAAUUCUUGGUGAGGCUCAUCUAAUUUUUAAAAUUCUUUUUAUUAUAUAUUUUUGGUAGGGGAUGUGGAAAAGUACUUGGUAGGAGAAAAGUAUCUGGAAACAAUGACCCAUAAAGACAUUCAUAAAGGUGUCUGAUCCUGGAAGGCAAAGAGAAGAGGCACAAGCUGAUGCUCCCUCCUGUCUCAGCCUCUGAAGCGGGUGGGGUCUUGGAAAACUUCUUGAUUCUGAUGGAACUUCUUUUAAUGGUCCUAGUACCCUAAGUAAUUACCCUUAAUAUGCAGGUGAAAUUUUCCAAUCUUUUCUGUGCUUUUUUGGCAUGCUUGAGUUUACAGUGGGUAUAUUGUGUAUUUUACUGUUUUUCACUUAACAUUAUAUCAUAAGCAUUUCCUCAACUUAUUAAAAAUUCUUUGUAACAUCAUUUUCUUGCUGUAGAAUAUUUAAUUGCAAGUCUGCAUCAUAAUUCUCUUAACAUUCCCCUAAUGAUGCAAAUUUAAAUAGUUCUAUUUUUUUUCUAUGGCAAAUAGAGCUGUUAUAAGCCUUUUUUAAACGGAAAUUUUGGCCCAUAUUUCAGCAUAUUGUUUUCAGGAUAGACUUUUAGAGGUAGAAUUUUUGGAUCAAAGAAUACGAACAGUUACAAGAUUCUUGGCACACUGCCACAUGUACUGUCAGAGAGGUCAUGCCCACGUUUAUAUUCACUAGCCAGUGCGAGCCUAGUGACUUUGGGUAAGAGUCUUUCAAAUGAUCUCUGGCCUAAUUUAAUAUGUUAAAAUGCAAUACACACAGGUACACCCAUAUUUACUACACAUAUAUAUGCACAUACAUGUAUAUAUACAAGUGUAUACAUAUACAUCUACCUAUCUAUAUCUAAAUCGAAUCUAUCUAUCUAUAUCUACAUCCCUAUAAAGUUGACCCUUGAACAAUGUGAGGGUUAGGAAUACCACCCCCAUCCCUACACAGUCAGAAAUACAUGAAUAAGUCUUUUGACUUUCCCAAAACUUAACUACUAAUAGAUUACUGUUGAGUAGACGCCUUACCUAUAACCUUAAUCAAUUGUUGUAUGUAUCAUAUAGUAUAUUCUCAUCAUAAAGUAAGCUAGAGAAAAGAAAACAUCACUAAGAAAAUCAUAAGGACUGCGUGAGGUGGCUUGCACUUGUAAUCCCAGCUACUUGGGAGGCUCAGGUGGGAGGGUUGCUUGAGCCCAGGAGUCCAAGGCUGCAGUGAGGUAUGAUUCUACUGCUGCACUGCAACCUGGGCAACAGAGAGAGACCUAUGUCUCAAGAAAAUUAUAAAGAAAGAAAAUCAUAAGGAAGAGAAAAUAUAUUUGAUAUAUUUACUAUUCAUUAAGUGCAAGUGGAUCAUCAGAAAGAUUUUCAUCUUCAUGUUGAGUAUGCUGAGGAGGAGGCGGGGUUGGUCUUGCUGUCUCAGGGGUGGCAGAGGUGGAAGAAAAUCUGCAUACGAGUGAACCUGCUCAGUUCAAAUCUGUGUUGUUCAAGGGUCAGUGGUGUAUAUAUACAUACAUAUAUACAAAUAUACAUGCAUAUAUGUAUUUUUUAUUAGUAAGGCAGCUGCACAUUUUUUUCCUGUUAGAAUCAUUUUUCAAUGGCAGGUGAUUAAUAGUGGGUGGAAUAAACAAGCUACAGAACUUCCUUCUACCUCCCUGGGGGGUAGCUGCUGUUAGCUGCCAAGAAUUCCAAUUCAGCUUUGCUAUUUAAAAUCUCCAGCCUUGUUUUAAAAAUCAAACAUGUCUGUGAGGGGAAAAUCUCUCUCCAUGUAAACAAACAAAAAAUAUCUUUCUGAUAAUACAUUUCAACAGGGUAUUGAAAGGAAUGAAAAAUACUCAUGGUAAAGAGCUUUCUUCACUUUUAGGCACCUCUGCAUCUCACUACAUUGGCUAAUUCUAAGUUUAAGGAAGAAGAAAGGAGCAAGGUUUAUCAACCCCCACCCCCCCCUUUUAUUGGGGGUUUUUUUGUUUGUUUGUUUUUGAGACAGAGUCUCACUGUGUCACCCAGGCUGGAGUGCAAUGGCCCAAUCUUGGCUUACUGCAACCUCUGCCUCCUGGGUUCAAGCAGUUCUCCUGCCUCAGCCUCCUGAGUAGCUGGGAUUACAGACACGCGCCACCACAACUGGCUAAUUUUUGUAUUUUUAGUAGAGACAGAGUUUUGCUAUGCUGGCCAGGCUAGCCUCCAACUCCUGGUCUCAAGUGAUCCACCCACCUCGGCCUCCCAAAGUGCUGGGAUUACAGAUGUGAGCCACUGCACCUGGCCUAUCACCCCUUUUUUACUAAUGAGGAACAAAACUCCAAGAGGAGAGCCACCUGACUCUGCUCCAUGUCAUCUCCCAGGAGCUGCCUUGUCUUAUUCACCUAGUGAGUAUCAACUGCAAGACACCAACAGAUUCAUUCAAUUGUCAGCCCACAUGUGGUGUCUAGUAAUUGCACAGGUACCCAGUAUUGAAUGGAUGACUAGUAUUGCUCUGGUAUCUAGUAUUGCACAAAUAUCUAGUAUUGCACAGGUGCCAGUAUUGAUCAGAUGCUAGUACUGCACAGCUAUACCCAGUAUUACACAGGUACGUAUUGCCCAGGUGCAAACAUUGUUUGAUGCCAAUGUUGUACAGCUGUCCAGUAUUGCAUGGGAGCCAGUAUUGCUCAGGUGCCCAGUAUAGAAUAGGUGCUCAGUAUUGCAUAGGGGCCAGUAUUGCACAGGUAUUCUGCAUAGCACAUGUGUUGAUAUUACUCAGAUGCUAGUGGUACACAGCUGUUCAGUACUGCUUAGAUGCUAGUAUUGUACAGGUGCCAGUAUUGCCCAGGUGGCUAGUAUUCCACAGCUAGCCAGCAUUGCACAGGUGCCCAGUAUGGAACAGAUGAUAGCAUUGCACAGGUAUCCAGUACUUAUAACAUAUGUGAAGCCUGCUCCCUCUGGCAUCUCCAUGACCUCAUUUCUUAGGAAAAUGAGAAAGUGGGACACGAGUCCCAUACUGGAUUUUAUGACCUUGUCUGAAACACUUGCCUGACUUCUAGCACAGCCUUUUUUUGGUCUCAUGUUCUCACAUGGGCACAGGAUGGCAUUCCGACCUGAGAAGCGUGUCAGAGCUGAGCCGGGGAAGAGUAGUGAACUUGGAAUCAUCUACAUUUUCUUCCCUCCUGUGUCCCUCCCACCACACACUCCACACACAUGCCUCGGCAUCCCUUUCGGCUCUCCUGUCUCCAGAUGAAGAGGGAAGGUGGUGGGCCUUCUCACUAUUCUCCCUGCUUCCUCCCUGCCUGGAGGGACGUACUUGGCAGAGAGCUUUCUAAUACUCAUCCCAAAGAAGAAAACUUGCAGGGUAAAAUUUCUGACUCAGGUCAAAAGUCUGGGUGGAAUGGCCUUCCCCCUGGCCUCCCAGAGGCAUAGAGGCCAGGCCUCAUGAGGUAGCCCUUCUGAAUCCUUUGCUUUCAUUUUCUCUUUGGGAUCCUGGUUAGGUAUCUUUUGUUGCAGAGGAGCUGCAGAUGUGUCUAUGUGAUACUUAAAAACUUGGUUUAUUCCAUAGAGAUUUUAGUACAAAGGCAGAUGAACGGUCUUCAUCCACAAACUCAACAGGUCUAGUUUGAUCUUUUGCUCCAGGGGCUAUUGUGUUCUGUACACAUGGUGCUUCAUAACCAAUUCAGGGUCAUAUUGAUUCACAAUUGUGUUAAAAGAGGAUUUUGGUGCUCACUUACGCAGCACAUAUACUAAAAUUGGAAUGAUACAGAGAUUAGCACGGCCCCUGUGCACGGAUAACAUGCACAUUCAUGAAGCGUUCCAUAUUUUUAUUUAAAAAAAAAAUUAACUGGAUUUUGUCUCAUCCUGAAAGAUCUCUCAUAAGGUGCUUUUCCCUGUUCAGGCCUCAGUAAUUUCUAGGCUGUCUUCCUCCCCAGAGUACAACCUCUAAUUCCUCUCAACAUUGGAUGCAACAUAAUUUGCAAAUCUGACCAUAUCUGCACCCACUUUCCUCCUGUAAAGGGCUCUUACCACCUUCAAUUACAGCAUAGUGGCCAGCCCCCUCAUUAGCUGGUUCUUUGCAGUCUCUGUGUCGGAGUCAUCCUUGGUUACUUCCAUACAUGCCUGAAGCUGCAGGAAGAACUGCACACUUGCAGGUUCCAAUAUCACCUCGAUUUCUCUGCAUUUGUCAUCCCCUCACCUAGAUAGCUCCUUCAAAACCCAUGUCAGAAUUCUCCCUCCAACAAUCCUUCCCUGACUUCCCCUCAGGCCAUUUGGUCCUCUGUGAUGGAACCCUUGCAGCUUGAACUAUUUUAACACAUCUCUUAUUGCAGCCAGUGUCCUCCAGGGAGCCAGUAAGGCCUUGCUCAGCUCCAAAUCUCUGGCAUUGCACCACCUGUAGUGUAAAUGCAGAGAACAUUUGUGUUCCGAAUGAAGGAAUUAAUGGUGUUAUCUCUGCCUGGGAGCUGAGGUCUGGAUGCCUACCAUCCUUUCACCCUAACACCUCCAUUUGUUACCUUAAGAAGACAAUGUCCGUGCACUGCAGCUAUGAACAAAAUGGUCCUUCCUGGGCUGAGCGCGGUGGCUCACGCCUGUAAUCCCAACACUUUGGGAGGCUGAGGUGGGCGAAUUACCUGAGGUCAGGAGUUCAAGGCCAGCCUGGCCAACAUGGUGAAACCCCUUCUCUACUAAAAAUACAAAAAAUUAGCUGGGCAUGGUGGUGGACGCCUGUAAUCCCAGCUACUUGGGAAGCUGAGACAGGAGAAUUGCUUGAACCUGGGAGGCGGAGGUUGCAGUGAGCCGAGAUUGCAUCAUUACACUCCAGCUUGGGCAACGAGAGCAAAACUCUGUCUCAAAAACAAAACAAAACAAAACAAAACAAAAAAGGUCCUUCCCUGGAGAAAGGAGUGGCCUCACUCUGACUUGGGGAAUCUCAGUAAGCCCAGAGGAAGCUUUAUCUU
This 6968-nucleotide long non-coding RNA is filed under the name Homo sapiens (human). Lineage: Eukaryota; Metazoa; Chordata; Mammalia; Primates; Hominidae. The record is from RNAcentral.